UGGAUGGUACAUAUUUAUUGCUCCAAGCAAAUAUUUGAAAAACAAAACUGGAGAUAGGGGAAGUGCCAUACAAACUUCAUCUACAGUAUCAACUUCUACAUGAUAUUUUACUAAUUUAUAGAGAGAAAAACGUGAAGACAACAACAAGGACAACCGGUCCCUAGCUUGCCAGCAAGGGUUGUACCGGCAUAAGAUCAGCUUUAGGAAUCACAGGAAUCCAUAUAUUAAUCACCGUAAC
RNAcentral lists this long non-coding RNA (238 nucleotides) under Elaeis guineensis (African oil palm). Its description in RNAcentral is "long non-coding RNA (EGUI_LNC006120)". The record is from RNAcentral. Lineage: Eukaryota; Viridiplantae; Streptophyta; Magnoliopsida; Arecales; Arecaceae.